Musa acuminata subsp. malaccensis (wild Malaysian banana) is the source of this 1756-nucleotide non-coding RNA. Lineage: Eukaryota; Viridiplantae; Streptophyta; Magnoliopsida; Zingiberales; Musaceae. The record is from RefSeq and is a predicted model, not a curated record.
ACAGGGAACGAGAAGCGAGAGAUGCAGCUCUCAAAGCAAAGCGAUGCAAUGCAACGCAACAUCAUCUUCUUUCGAUACCCAGGCGGCAAGAGGAAGAGAAGAGGAGAGAGGGGAUGGGGAGGAUCGCACCGUUGAAGAAGCCUCACGCGUCGACCGCCCGGCCCCACCAGGUCGGAUCUGUUGCGCCCGCCUGCCAACGCCUCUGCGACGUCGUUGUUCUUCUCCUUUGGUCGUGACAAUUGUAGCCGUCGGAUGGGAUCCAUAAGUUGGUUUUCGGCGGCCUGAUGCGCGCUGAGGAGGACGGCGUGGUAAUGCAACAUUAGGUUUCGGAGACUUGUACAGGUCCCAAGUUAAAAGAAAUGACUGGAAAGUGGCAUCUUUGUAGUUCACAACAUUGGUGAUCAACUAGAAUCAGAGAAUUCUUUCUCGACUCCUAGCGAUUGGACAGAUUCACGAAUCAGAUAUUAUUCCCUAUUAAGCAUGGAGUUCUGGUAUUCCACAAAAGUUAAGACAUCUGAGUCCUGUUUGAAGAAAACUAGAAAAGCAGAUCCACAAGUCAUCCUGUUCCAGAAGUUAGAUAUUCUUGUAAUUGUUCUUUUUUUCUCUCUUUCUGAGCUUAAUUAUACUUGUAACAUUUGGAAAUUUAUCAUUGCUGUGCUUCAUUGCUUUGCAUGAUCUCAAAUCGAUUUUUUUGGAACUGCAAAUGAAGUGUCAAACGCUAUAGUUACCCACACUAGGAUGAUCUAUAGUCUUGCUUGAAAGAUUUUUUUGUAUCAAUCUCUUAAGUUAAAACAAGAUUUGUGAUCGGUUACUCCAGACUUUGCAUUUGAUUGAUUGCUGAUAUAUGAAUCUUUUGUUUAAUAAAAAAAAAUCAUCUUUAGAGUACAAGUCAGCCAUGAUGUAGUGCAACUAGCCAUAUCUAAUUUAAAGGCAAUGGAAUGGUUUUCCCUGAGAAAUCAAUGUCACCGGUCUGGGUGGCUGUCUGCAAGUACAAGAAUGACACAUUUUGAUUAUAUGGUUUUUUGCUUCCAAAGACUUGUACAGGUCCCAAGUUAAAAGAAAUGACUGGAAAGUGGCAUCUUUGUAGUUCACAACAUUGGUGAUCAACUAGAAUCAGAGAAUUCUUUCUCGACUCCUAGCGAUUGGACAGAUUCACGAAUCAGAUAUUAUUCCCUAUUAAGCAUGGAGUUCUGGUAUUACACAAAAGUUAAGACAUCUGAGUCCUGUUUGAAGAAAACUAGAAAAGCAGAUCCACAAGUCAUCCUGUUCCAGAAGUUAGAUAUUCUUCCUACUGCCGGUCUAAGCAAUUUCUUGUUUUGUGAAGAAACUGUGGUCGAGACUUCUGAUUAAAUCCAUGCUCUGAAGAUACCAGAACUCACAGGCAAUGAUGUCUUCAAAGAUGUUGCACCACCAGGAUUUAUAGAAACGACAAGAAGCACGACAAAGCUUAAAUAAAUGAGUGAUAAUGAUUUUCAAUGACAGGAAGCAUCCUCUUCAAGCUGUGGUGCCUGCAAACCUCCCGGUGGUGAAAGCGGUAUGACACUAGUUUGAAGUAUCUUUUCUGGCACAGUCGUUUAUGGUAGCUUCUUGACAGCAUUUGGACCAGCUGAGGGAUCUCCCUCUCUUAAUGCACUUUGACCGCAUGCUGUGUUCUGAUGUUAUCCUGAUAUGAUGAUGUCCUGCUUAGAUAAUCUGUGUUCCGAACGAACUUGUAUUUAUUUGUAUUUGAUCUAAAUUGUUAGCAUGGUGAACAACU